UACGUAGGGUGCGAGCGUUAAUCGGAAUUACUGGGCGUAAAGUGUGCGCAGGUGGCUGAGCAAGUCGAGUGUGAAAUCCCCGGGCUUAACUUGGGAAUUGCGCUCGAAACUACUUGGCUCGAGUGUGGCAGAGGAAGGUGGAAUUCCACGUGUAGCGGUGAAAUGCGUAGAGAUGUGGAGGAACACCAAUGGCGAAGGCAGCCUUCUGGGCCAACACUGACACUCAUGCACGAAAGCGUGGGGAGCAAACAGG
RNAcentral lists this ribosomal RNA (253 nucleotides) under uncultured bacterium. RNAcentral describes it as "partial 16S ribosomal RNA". It matches the Rfam family "Bacterial small subunit ribosomal RNA", at positions 524 to 776 of the family's 1533-position model. The record is from RNAcentral.